This 1024-nucleotide ribosomal RNA is filed under the name Pediococcus pentosaceus. RNAcentral's name for it is "bacterial SSU rRNA". It matches the Rfam family "Bacterial small subunit ribosomal RNA", at positions 442 to 1471 of the family's 1533-position model. The record is from RNAcentral. Lineage: Bacteria; Bacillati; Bacillota; Bacilli; Lactobacillales; Lactobacillaceae.
GGUAAGAGUAACUGUUUACCCAGUGACGGUAUUUAACCAGAAAGCCACGGCUAACUACGUGCCAGCAGCCGCGGUAAUACGUAGGUGGCAAGCGUUAUCCGGAUUUAUUGGGCGUAAAGCGAGCGCAGGCGGUCUUUUAAGUCUAAUGUGAAAGCCUUCGGCUCAACCGAAGAAGUGCAUUGGAAACUGGGAGACUUGAGUGCAGAAGAGGACAGUGGAACUCCAUGUGUAGCGGUGAAAUGCGUAGAUAUAUGGAAGAACACCAGUGGCGAAGGCGGCUGUCUGGUCUGCAACUGACGCUGAGGCUCGAAAGCAUGGGUAGCGAACAGGAUUAGAUACCCUGGUAGUCCAUGCCGUAAACGAUGAUUACUAAGUGUUGGAGGGUUUCCGCCCUUCAGUGCUGCAGCUAACGCAUUAAGUAAUCCGCCUGGGGAGUACGACCGCAAGGUUGAAACUCAAAAGAAUUGACGGGGGCCCGCACAAGCGGUGGAGCAUGUGGUUUAAUUCGAAGCUACGCGAAGAACCUUACCAGGUCUUGACAUCUUCUGACAGUCUAAGAGAUUAGAGGUUCCCUUCGGGGACAGAAUGACAGGUGGUGCAUGGUUGUCGUCAGCUCGUGUCGUGAGAUGUUGGGUUAAGUCCCGCAACGAGCGCAACCCUUAUUACUAGUUGCCAGCAUUAAGUUGGGCACUCUAGUGAGACUGCCGGUGACAAACCGGAGGAAGGUGGGGACGACGUCAAAUCAUCAUGCCCCUUAUGACCUGGGCUACACACGUGCUACAAUGGAUGGUACAACGAGUCGCGAGACCGCGAGGUUAAGCUAAUCUCUUAAAACCAUUCUCAGUUCGGACUGUAGGCUGCAACUCGCCUACACGAAGUCGGAAUCGCUAGUAAUCGCGGAUCAGCAUGCCGCGGUGAAUACGUUCCCGGGCCUUGUACACACCGCCCGUCACACCAUGAGAGUUUGUAACACCCAAAGCCGGUGGGGUAACCUUUUAGGAGCUAGCCGUCCUAAGGGGACAAU